GUUCACAACAUAUUCCCCAAGUCAUUAUGUACUCAGCUCAGAUGUUCAUGGAGGAGGACGAAGAGUGAAACGGGCAAACUAGGGCUCGGCUCGUGAACAGCCCUAGUGUGUAUCGUUCACAACAUAUUCCCCAAGUCCCUAAUUUCUAAUUUCUAGGGCUCAGAUUCCCCAAAAUCUUCAACAACUUUCAGCUUCAACAAUCACUUAAUUUCCAAUCAAUGGCGACUCCUGAUGUUCUCCCACGCGAUCAUUUCUCAUCGUCAUCUCCAUUCAAUCCUACCAAAGGUGAUGCGCUCGAGAAGAAGGUUGAAUACCUCAAGAGCUUGAACGACAGAGUAACAAUGAUUUGUAGAUCUGUGUUUUGAUUUAGUUUUACCGAGUGAAAUUUUGUGAUGUUUCGUUGAUUGUUGAAGAUGAUAGUAUGUGUAUGCUGAUGAUAUGUGUUUGAACUGUUUGUGAUCCUGCUGAGUAACUAUUGAAUGUUUCGAUUUACGAUGUAAUCUGCGCGUGAGAUGGAAGUUAGAUGUUGUCUAUCUUGUUGUAGUUUAAUAAAUUGAUAGUUGAUGGAUACUUUCUACACAUGUGAUCUGUUCUUUAUUUCUUAUGCAUUUUCUUUGUUGUUUUAAUUUACAUAAAUUGAUGUUUUGACUGACAAAUCUCUAUAUACUGAUGACUUGAGUUUGAACUGUUGUGAUUUAUAAUUUAAUGGUGAAACUGUGAUCUUGCUGACUAGUUAUUGAAUUAUUGAUCUAGUGAGUUGUUUCUGUAUUUGCUAAAAAAUUGGUCUUCUUGACGUAUUAAUGAUGUAAACUACAUGAAAUCCUCUGAUUAUUAGGAAUGUGAUUACGAAUAUAAUUAGGAGGAUCUAGUAUUUUAUAUGCUUGUAUUGUAGAAUGUGAAUGUUCCAUUGUUUGAAAUUAAAUAGUUGUUUGGUAUGAGACCUAUCUUGGAUUUAAGAGGUUCAAGACUGUGACAAAGCAAUAACUCAUUUUUUUUCCAAUUCCAUAACAUAAUUUGCUAAGUGUUACCAUAUUAACUAACUAUCAGACAACAUAUGUGUACACCAGGUAUAUACACCAAUCUGCCUUUGAUAACAAUCUGGCUGAUAUAAAUCAGCACAGCAGGAAAGUAAAAGGAAGAAAUCGAGAGUUUUAUUAAUGAAGGAGUUUACCAAAUAGAGAAGUUGAAAGAAGAUGGAUGGAUAACAGAUAUCAAAUAUGAUGAUGAGGUUAAUCUAUGUUGAAAACAAGUGAAUAUCUCCUUAUAUAGGAAAUACUCGAGAAUUAGGAAAUGGAGUGUGGGAUUAUCAGGUGGCAAAGAUAGAAUUGCGGUUAUUAGAGCUUCUGAUUCAAAAAGGUAUAAGGCGGUUAUCAUCCGAAUUGAUAGCCUUGGGGGUGAUGGUCUUGCUUCUGACUUAAUGUGGAGGGAAAUCAAACUAUUGGCUGAAUCUAAGCCUGUAGUUGCAUCAUUGGUUGAUAUGGCGGGCAGUGGAGGAUACCAAAUGGCCAUGUCAGCAAAUGCUAUAGUCUCGGAGAAUCUUACUUUAACGGGUUCAAUUGGUGUAGUCUCAUUUAAGUUCAAUAUGGAGAAACUAUAUGAAAAGAUUGGUUGCAACGAAGAAGUUGUAUCAAAGGGACGAUAUGCUGAGCUGUAUACAGAUGCUCGCUCAUUCAGACCUGAUGAACAGAAACUGUUUGUAGAACAAGCCCAAUAUAUGUAUUAACAGUUUCGUGAUGACGCAGCAUGUUCAAGAUCAAUAAGAUGGAGGAGGAAAUUCGGAUUCUGUAACCGGACGUAAAAAAAUAAAAUAUUUUGGAUACAAGUUGAUUCGUUUCAUUAUUGGUACUCAAUACUAUUUACGAUACAUUUUUUUAUUUACGAUGGUUUUAUUUCAUGGAAGUCGUCUAAUGUAACUUAAAAAAUAAAGUCGUAUAUUAAAUUGAUCAAAAAUGUAGGUCCCUCGGAGGAUGAGGUCAAA
Helianthus annuus (common sunflower) is the source of this 1978-nucleotide RNA transcript. It is a transcript of the gene named serine protease SPPA, chloroplastic, with no coding region annotated. The transcript is spliced from 10 exons. NCBI's taxonomy places the organism in Eukaryota, Viridiplantae, Streptophyta, Magnoliopsida, Asterales, Asteraceae. The record is from RefSeq and is a predicted model, not a curated record.